UAACAGCUGGAAUAGCUCAGUUGGUGAGAGCGUGGCUGUUAACCUCACCAUUGGAGUGUAGAGCCCUCUUUCCAGCGC
This is a non-coding RNA of Marchantia paleacea, 78 nucleotides long. The record is from the annotation of a GenBank genome assembly. NCBI's taxonomy places the organism in Eukaryota, Viridiplantae, Streptophyta, Marchantiopsida, Marchantiales, Marchantiaceae.